This is a small nuclear RNA of Camelus dromedarius (Arabian camel), 107 nucleotides long. NCBI's taxonomy places the organism in Eukaryota, Metazoa, Chordata, Mammalia, Artiodactyla, Camelidae. The record is from Ensembl.
GUGCUCACUUCAGCAGCACAUAUACUAAAAUUGGAACGAUACAGAGAAGAUUAGCAUGGCCCCUGUGCAAAGAUGACACGCAAAUUCGUGAAGCAUUCCAUAUUUUU